This is a long non-coding RNA of Bos taurus (domestic cattle), 362 nucleotides long. The record is from Ensembl. Lineage: Eukaryota; Metazoa; Chordata; Mammalia; Artiodactyla; Bovidae.
AGCUCUGUGUUCUGUUCUCAGUCAUGGCUCAGCACCCAACCCAGAGGCCUGAGCUCCUUCAGACACCUUCAGCUGUGCACUCUUUCAUGGAACCAAUAGUCAUGGAAGAUGAUUUUUCUGUCUAGUUCAACACUUAGUUUCCUGCUGAAGACCAAGGCGUGGAAGCAUUCCAGAAGAUGGCUGAAUGUUCCAUCUCAGCUAAGGGGCACAGAGAUUUGACAAAAGAAGAAUUUCACGAUAGUCAAAUUCCAGAAAGCAGAGGUUAGGAAGUCAUAGAUGACACAAAUGCAUCCUUUGAAAAUGCAAAAAUGUGCAACUCUUUAAAAAGAGCUUAUGAUAAUGGAAUGGAAAUGAGUCAGAAA